GCAGUUGCAACCAGACAAAGUGAAAAGGCAGAUAUCUAUUGUUAAUGGGAAACUUUUAGUGUAAGUUUCUAUUCUUUGAUCAGUCAUGGUUGGAAGACUCAUUACAUAACUGUUUUUCAUUCUUGUCCAAUAUUCAUUCAAUUUGCACCUACCAGUUUAUCUUAUGAGACAAUAUUCAUUUCGAAAUUUUGUAUGGCCUGUUUAAUAAUCAUUUUUUCCUCUUUUCCUGCCAAAUUUUCAAAUAUUUUACUUAAGGAGAGUCCUUCCUCUAAAAUACCAUUUUUCUUUAGUAUAUCAAUUUUACCUGGACUUUGCAGUUUAGAAGUUUCUUCAUUUUGUUUAUUUUCUCAUCUGAUUCAAGCACUUUGAGGCAGUUGAGGCCAAGUUUCUUCGUGCAUCAUUUUCUGCUUUUGUAGAUGUGCUUACUGUCACGGGAUGAAUGUUUUGUGCAGCAAACCCGUGCGGCACUUAAACUGUUAGCCUAGAGGGCUACACAUAAUGUAAUUUUGAUGAUAACAAACAUGUGUCUUAAGUAAAAAUAAUAAAUAUUGUAUUUCACAUUUACACUAGUUUUUGAAGGAUAAUAUUUAUGCAAGUGAAUCAAGUGAAAUCAAGAUUGAAGACACUCAACGGACAACAGCGAAAUCAAGAAUAAAGUUUAGAGCUCAACGGACGAAUUAUUGCGACAAAUUCUUGUAAAGCCGGUAUGAUUUAAUUGAUGCAUGAUUUAGCAUUUGAGAAGCUCAAGAGAUUAAUUUAAUUAAAUACUUUUCAUAAACUAAAAUAUUUUAUUUUUAUGAAGUAAAGUAUUUUGUGGAUUUGAGUAAAUUGGACUUAAAUGCUAAGAUUUGAAAUCUUUGAUUUUAAUAAGUAUCAAAUUUCGGAGUUGGAUUUUUUUACAAACAUUUUAAAUGUUUUGGGCCAUACUAUAAUUUAUGAAUAUUUUGAACUAAAGUGAAAGGUUUUGAGAACUUUAAAAAAUAUGGGUAUUAUGUUGAAAAGGAAUUUUGUGCGAAAAAAUAAAAUCUUUGGGGCCAUAUCAUAAUUUUAGAAAGUUUGGGAAAGACAACUAUUCUUAGGAAGUUCUGAAAUUGGACCUAUUUGCAAAGUUUUCUGACAUUUUGGGCCAUAGAAAAAUUAUAGAAAGUUUUGGGCCAAAGUGUAAUUUUAGUGAACAGUAUUACUGUAACAAAAUUCAAAAAUAACGGUAAUAUUAUUGUUCCUGAGUGGCUAGCCGGAUAAUCAAGCGGCGAACCGCUUGAGCGCUAGAAUUUACCUAUAACGGCUAGUUUUUGGGCUUUCACUAUAAAAACUCAACUCAAACUUCAUUUUAAAAAAAAAUGCACGCAAAUAUAAGAUCAUACAACAUAUAUUGAGCUUCCAAAACACAAAUCAUCAUUGAUUGAAUCAUUGUUGAGCUAUUAGUUGCAUAUCAACUCUUAAAGAGAGUUUUUGUUGUAAUUUUCAUUCCUUAUCAAAUUGUGAGUGUGUAAGUGUGGGAAACACUUGGGGUGAAGAGAUUGGGGAGAUAAUCUCUUUGUUGUAAAGGUUCAUUGACACCUUGGAAGUCAAUUGUAAAAACUUGAAGUCUUGGGAGGCUUGGAUAGUGAAAUCCUCGAGCUCGGUUGGCUUAGAGGCGUGGACGUAGGUGAGGAUUGCCGAACCACAUAAAAAUCAGCGCGUUUGUUUUUCUCUUCCCUAACUCUUUUAUUUUUAUGCUUGCUUGAAUUUAUUGUUCUCUAUUUCAUUAAGGCGUUAGAUUGAUUUUACUGUGCGAAUCGUAUUGCAUUAUUUUUAAAAACUCAAUUCACCCCCCUCUUGGGUUGCGUUACUUGUAUUUCAUAAACAACUUUACCGAAUGUUGCUAAGUAAGCCUGGAGCUUCUCGACUAGCUAACCCUAGAGGUUUUCGAAGAGUUAGAGAGAAGAGAGCAAUGGACCCAAAUGAGGAAAAUUGUAUUACUCGAAAGAAAGAUUACAAGAGAGCUUACAAGAAUGCUUAAGUUGCUUGCUCUAAACUUGUUGUUCAAAUGCUAAAUGUCAUGUCCUAUUUAUAGGGGAGGCUUGCCAAGCUCUAGAGAUUCUAGAGAAUUCUACCACAUGCCUAGAAUUCUAGAUAUUUACAUGAGCUAGAAAUGUGUGGAGUAUUUUAGAGUAUUUACAAGCUCAAAUGUACUAGAGUUGCCUAGAACAUUUCGGAAUUGGCCCAAGCUAGCACACUUGGCCUUAUCUUGGGCUCUUGGUGGGGAAAUUGGGCUAGCAACUUGGGCGGUCCGCAACAUUACGCUCGCGACAAAAACAAUCGAACAGUUUGCUCAAGGAAUGGAAUUAUAACAUUGUACUGUCUUUGGCAGUUGGAGAAUCAUUCUUAGUAGGAACUGUAUUACUUUAAUAUGCCUUCUUGUUUUGGAUUAGUUGACAUUUUUGUAACAAGAGAAUCUACACUGUUAGUUUUACAAUUUAAACCUUGAAAUAUCGGAAAGCUGUAACAAAUUCUUCAAAGUUGUGAAUUAUAUUUUGAAAGAAUUAGCUAGGCUGACAUUGAGCAACAAUUUUCUGCAUACAUUUUAUCUUGGGC
RNAcentral lists this long non-coding RNA (2577 nucleotides) under Citrus sinensis (sweet orange). RNAcentral describes it as "long non-coding RNA (CSIN_LNC005168)". The record is from RNAcentral. Lineage: Eukaryota; Viridiplantae; Streptophyta; Magnoliopsida; Sapindales; Rutaceae.